Pseudophryne corroboree (corroboree frog) is the source of this 454-nucleotide long non-coding RNA. RefSeq lists it as uncharacterized. Lineage: Eukaryota; Metazoa; Chordata; Amphibia; Anura; Myobatrachidae. The transcript has 3 exons. The record is from RefSeq and is a predicted model, not a curated record.
CGACGCAAACGCGUCAUUCCGCGAAGCCCCGCCCCCCGAGCAGGAGCGCUCGGGUGGAAGAGAGAGGGAGGAGAGGACUGGAGAAGAUAACCAUCGACGGAGGAGGCGGCCGGCCCGCGGGACCCGAAGAGCGGCAAGUUGGGCAGCUGGUGUGGGAAUCACAGUGAAUAUUCAUAUUCAGAACAGCACAACAAACACUGAGCAACAUAUGAAACCAGGUGAAAGAUUUCAGUGAUUCUUCAUAAUCUGAUGUGUAAUCCAAGAGAGGUAUGGUUGUCAUGCCACAGAGUUAGCCAUUGCAGAUGAAGACUGAGCAAACAUGCUCCACAGUUGAAGACAACACCAAACUGUUGUCCACUGAUGAACCUGUAGUUGAUAUGGCAAGGACAUCUUUCUUUCGACAGUUAAUUUGUUUUGAAUUGUAAUUAUUUGUUGUGAUGGAAUAAAUUGACUU